This 571-nucleotide ribosomal RNA is filed under the name Alternaria sp. IOC-1546. RNAcentral's name for it is "eukaryotic LSU rRNA". It matches the Rfam family "Eukaryotic large subunit ribosomal RNA", at positions 62 to 648 of the family's 3401-position model. Lineage: Eukaryota; Fungi; Ascomycota; Dothideomycetes; Pleosporales; Pleosporaceae. The record is from RNAcentral.
AAACCAACAGGGAUUGCCCUAGUAACGGCGAGUGAAGCGGCAACAGCUCAAAUUUGAAAUCUGGCUCUUUUAGAGUCCGAGUUGUAAUUUGCAGAGGGAGCUUUGGCUUUGGCAGCGGUCCAAGUUCCUUGGAACAGGACGUCACAGAGGGUGAGAAUCCCGUACGUGGUCGCUGGCUAUUGCCGUGUAAAGCCCCUUCGACGAGUCGAGUUGUUUGGGAAUGCAGCUCUAAAUGGGAGGUACAUUUCUUCUAAAGCUAAAUAUUGGCCAGAGACCGAUAGCGCACAAGUAGAGUGAUCGAAAGAUGAAAAGCACUUUGGAAAGAGAGUCAAACAGCACGUGAAAUUGUUGAAAGGGAAGCGCUUGCAGCCAGACUUGCUUGCAGUUGCUCAUCCGGGCUUUUGCCCGGUGCACUCUUCUGUAGGCAGGCCAGCAUCAGUUUGGGCGGUAGGAUAAAGGUCUCUGUCACGUACCUCUCUUCGGGGAGGCCUUAUAGGGGAGGCGACAUACUACCAGCCUGAACUGAGGUCCGCGCAUCUGCUAGGAUGCUGGCGUAAUGGCUGUAAGCGGC